Molecule: ribosomal RNA, 475 nt
Filed under: uncultured Pseudanabaena sp.
Lineage: Bacteria; Bacillati; Cyanobacteriota; Cyanophyceae; Pseudanabaenales; Pseudanabaenaceae
Description: bacterial SSU rRNA
Rfam family: Bacterial small subunit ribosomal RNA
Source: RNAcentral
AGAGUUUGAUCAUGGCUCAGGAUAAACGUUGGCGGCGUGCCUAACGCAUGCAAGUCGCACGAGGCGCAAGCCGAGUGGCGGACGGGUGAGUAACACGUAGGGACCUGCCCAGAAGUGGGGGACAACUCUCCGAAAGGAGAGCUAAUACCGCAUACGGUCUACGGACCAAAGCCGCAAGGCGCUUCUGGAGGGACCUGCGGUGGAUUAGCUAGUUGGUGGGGUAACGGCCUACCAAGGCGACGAUCCAUAGCUGGUCUGAGAGGAUGAUCAGCCACACUGGGACUGAGACACGGCCCAGACUCCUACGGGAGGCAGCAGCGAGGAAUUUUGCACAAUCGACGCAAGUCGGAUGCAGCAACGCCGCGUGGGGGAAGAAGGCUUUCGAGUUGUAAACCCCUUUUGUGAGGGAAGAAGAUCUGACGGUACCUCACGAAUAAGUCACGGCUAACUACGUGCCAGCCGCCGCGGUAAUACA